Molecule: ribosomal RNA, 542 nt
Filed under: Theloderma bicolor
Lineage: Eukaryota; Metazoa; Chordata; Amphibia; Anura; Rhacophoridae
Description: partial 12S ribosomal RNA
Rfam family: Bacterial small subunit ribosomal RNA (bases 1-345)
Source: RNAcentral
GUAUACCUCCGUCGCAAGCCUGCCAUGUGAACGCACAAUAGCAAGCUUAAGGACUUUAGCGCCAAUACGUCAGGUCAAGGUGCAGCUCAUGAAAUGGAACAUAAUGGGCUACAAUUUCUAUCUUAGAACAAACGAAAGACUACAUGAAACUUAGUCAUGAAGGCGGAUUUAGCAGUAAAUAGGAAACAGAAAGCCCCAUUUAACCCGGCCCUGGGACGCGUACAAACCGCCCGUCACCCUCUUCAACAGUACCUCACCAGGCAUUAUAGCCCCCACCUACACCCUAUAAGAGGCAAGUCGAAACAUGGUAAGUGUACCGGAAGGUGCACUUGGAACAACAAAAUGUAGCUUAACAAAAGCCCCUCGCUUACACCGAGUAAAUGUCUGUGCACCCGGAUCAUUUUGAGCCCCCCAUCUAGCCCACAACCCAACACAUACUUAUCAAUCCGAAAAAAAUAAAAUAAAACAUUUUAACUCUUUAGUAAAAGCGAACAAAAUUUACCUAGGCGCUUUAGAAAAAGUACCGCAAGGGAAAAAUGAAA